Molecule: ribosomal RNA, 253 nt
Filed under: Anaerotignum lactatifermentans
Lineage: Bacteria; Bacillati; Bacillota; Clostridia; Lachnospirales; Anaerotignaceae
Description: partial 16S ribosomal RNA
Rfam family: Bacterial small subunit ribosomal RNA
Source: RNAcentral
UACGUAGGGGGCAAGCGUUAUCCGGAAUUACUGGGUGUAAAGGGAGAGUAGGCGGCAAUUUAAGCCAGAUGUGAAAGCCUAUGGCUUAACCGUAGGAUUGCAUUUGGAACUAAGUAGCUAGAGUACAGGAGAGGAAAGCGGAAUUCCUAGUGUAGCGGUGAAAUGCGUAGAUAUUAGGAAGAACACCAGUGGCGAAGGCGGCUUUCUGGACUGAAACUGACGCUGAGGCUCGAAAGCGUGGGGAGCAAACAGG